Molecule: ribosomal RNA, 311 nt
Filed under: uncultured cyanobacterium
Lineage: Bacteria; Bacillati; Cyanobacteriota
Description: bacterial SSU rRNA
Rfam family: Bacterial small subunit ribosomal RNA
Source: RNAcentral
UUUUCUCAGGGAAGAAUUCUGACGGUACCUGAGGAAUCAGCCUCGGCUAACUCCGUGCCAGCAGCCGCGGUAAUACGGAGGAGGCAAGCGUUAUUCGGAAUUAUUGGGCGUAAAGCGUCCGCAGGGGGCGCAUCAAGUCUGCUGUUAAAGGUCGGAGCUUAACUCCGGUAAGGCAGUGGAAACUGGUGCGCUAGAGGGCGACAGGGGUAGAGGGAAUUCCCAGUGUAGCGGUGAAAUGCGUAGAUAUUGGGAAGAACACCGGUGGCGAAGGCGCUCUACUGGGUCGCGCCUGACCCUCAGGGACGAAAGCU